This 433-nucleotide ribosomal RNA is filed under the name uncultured bacterium. Its description in RNAcentral is "partial 16S ribosomal RNA". It matches the Rfam family "Bacterial small subunit ribosomal RNA", at positions 29 to 507 of the family's 1533-position model. The record is from RNAcentral.
AACGAACGCUGGCGGCAUGCCUAACACAUGCAAGUCGAACGAGACCUUCGGGUCUAGUGGCGCACGGGUGCGUAACGCGUGGGAACCUGCCCUUAGGUUCGGACUAACUCCCCGAAAGGGGUGCUAAUACCGGAUAAUGUCUUCGGACCAAAGAUUUAUCGCCUUUGGAUGGGCCCGCGUUGGAUUAGCUAGUUGGUAGGGUAAAAGCCUACCAAGUCGACGAUCCAUAGCUGGUCUGAGAGGAUGAGCAGCCACACUGGGACUGAGACACGGCCCAGACUCCUACGGGAGGCAGCAGUGGGGAAUAUUGGACAAUGGGCGAAAGCCUGAACCAGCAAUGCCGCGUGAGUGAUGAAGGCCUUAGGGUUGUAAAGCUCUUUUACCCGGGAUGAUAAUGACAGUACCGGGAGAAUAAGCUCCGGCUAACUCCGUG